Molecule: RNA transcript, 2585 nt
Organism: Oryzias melastigma (Indian medaka)
Lineage: Eukaryota; Metazoa; Chordata; Actinopteri; Beloniformes; Adrianichthyidae
Gene: rpn2
Gene name: ribophorin II
Exons: 18
Source: RefSeq, a predicted model, not a curated record
AUUCUGAAAUAUAACCCGGAAGUUCUUCUUCCUGUGACAGCUUGAGACACCGGAAGCAUUCGUGGUUUUCGGUGACGCUGCAUUAGACUGCUCGACAUGGACCCGUUCAGACUCCUCGGCUUGCUCUUCCUCGGCCUGGCUCUCGGUGGAGCUCAGGCCCUCACGCCGUCGCACUACCUUUCCCAGUCUGACGUGGCGCGGCUAGAGAACCUCCUGAGCCGACCCUUCAGCGACCUGGAGUCGGCGUACUAUUCUGUUGUUGGUCUCAGUAAACUGGAAGCAGUUCUUCCUGAUCAUAAAGAAGUAUGUCACUUCCUGAAAUCCCAGCUCAACCCCACCAGUGUCGACUCUCUGUUCUUUGCCGCUGAAACCAGUCGAGCCAUCUCAGGAUGUGAGAUCCCUGUUUCCAAUGAAACUCGUGACAUCCUCCUGGCUGUGGUCAGCGAAGACUCGUCCAUGGCGCAGAUCCACCGGGCCGUGAGCGCCCUCAGUUCUCUGGGGCUCCCCCUUGCGUCACAGGAGGUCGUAGGCGCCCUGACAGCUCGCAUUAACAAGGAGGACAAUGUUGUGGCCAUCACCUUGGCUCUCCAAACCGCGUCUCGCCUUUCCCAGCAGGCAGAACUUGAAGGAAUUUUAGAGGAAAUUGAGGAUCUCACAGCUCGCCUGGAUGAUCUUGGCGGUAUUUAUCUCCAGUUUGAAGAAGGGCUGGAGGCGACCGCCCUGUUUGUGACGGCAGCGUAUGCUCUGUCAGAUCACAUGGACAUUGAACCUCCCUUUAAGGAGGACCAGGUCAUCCAGUUGGUUAACUCCAUCUUCAGCAAGAAAUCCUGGGACUCUCUGGCUGAAGCCUUCAGUGUCGCCAGUGCCGCCGCCGCCCUGUCCAACAACCGCUUCCACGUUCCCGUCCUCGUGAACACUCAAGGUCCCGCCACCGUGUCCCACAGCCAACCGACCCUGCAGCUUCUCAUCACCGACGUUCUGUCUCGACCUUUGAGGUCAGCCAACGUUCUCCUGGAAUCCGCACACGCCGUUCCCUCAAAGAGUGUGGUCUUGAGCCAGGAACCUUUCACUCUGAAGAAUGACGUCUUCGAGCUAAACUUCAUGGCGAAGCAGCCGCCCAGUGGCUAUUACCAGUUCUCUGUUGCUGUGGCGGGAGACAGCCGACUGGUUGCCAAUCAGGUGGAGCUCAAGGUGAAGGUGUCCACUGAGGUCGCCAUCACCAACAUGGACCUCUCUGUGGUGGACAAAGAUCAGAGCAUCGGCACCAAGACCACCAGGGUGGAUUAUCCCUCCAAAGCCAAGAGCUCCUUCACAGCAGACAGCCACCAGAACUUUGCCAUGUCCUUCCAGCUGGUGGACGUCAACACUGGAGUGGAGCUCAUCCCACACCAGACGUUCGUCCGGCUGCACAACCAGAAAACCGGCCAGGAGGUCGUGUUUGUGGCCGAGCCCGACAGCAAGAACCAGUACAAGUUUGAGCUGGACACGGCGGAGCGCAAGUCCGAGUUUGACUCCACGUCCGGCACCUACUCGCUCUACCUCAUCGUCGGGGACGCCACCCUGGAGAACCCCAUCCUGUGGAACGUGGCUGAUGUGGUCCUGAAGUUUGUGGACGAGGAAGCGCCGGCUACAGUUCAGUCAAAGACCCUUUACGUCCCCAAACCAGAGAUCCAGCAUCUGUUCAGAGAGCCGGAGAAGAAGCCUCCAACCGUGGUCUCCAACACCUUCACCGGCCUGGUUCUGUCUCCUCUGCUGCUGCUCCUCAUCCUGUGGUUGAAGCUCGGAGCAAACAUCUCCAACUUCAGCUUCUCCCCCAGCACCAUCCUGUUUCACGCCGGACACGCAGCUCUGCUUGGUCUCAUGUACGUCUACUGGACCCACCUGAACAUGUUUCAAACCCUCAAGUACCUGGCAAUCGUCGGCGGCGUAACCUUCCUUGCCGGGAACCGCAUGCUGGCUCAGAAAGCAGUGAAGAGGAUCGCUGCAGAGCAAAGUAGUAGGUUGGCAAAGUAUAGGAGUCUUCGGUAAAGCCCCUCCCCCCUCACCUUUUUUGUAAGAAAUGAGUCUUCUUCCGAGCUGAAAAUGGAAAAGAAAUAACGGCACGAAAACUAAAAAAAGAAGUCACCGACAAGACCUGUCUUUUGUUUGCAGUGAAACCAGACUAUUGAAAAAACUAAAUCAAUUGUCAAAAAUGCAGUUUUGUUCACUUGGCCAAAGGAACGAACGCUGACGACGGAGGACAGCUGAUCGCCGCCGCACUUCAUCUUCCAGUCAUAUUUGUGUUUUUUUUUUUUGUCAGCACGACAAUGGGCUGGGGUUUUAUUUGUGGUUUUUGAUAAGAUUUGGGAUUUUCUUUUUUGUACAUUCCUCUUUUGUUGUUGCUCCACCUCAGGAACGAAACUCAUUUUCCAGCAGAACCGUCAUCAGUAACACUGAUAUUUGGAUUGCCUGUGGUAGUCUCCUGUUUGAUACAGAUUAUGUCCCUGGGGAAAAAAAAGAAAAAUUGUGCAGAUUCCGAAUGUAAUUUUUUCGUUCUUUUUUUUUUUAAGGAAGAAGAGGAAUAAAGAAAAUGAGGUGAUCUGAAA